GGGGAAGUGGUGGAACUGGCAGACGCGCCGGACUCAAAAUCCGGUGGUAGCGAUACCGUGAGGGUUCGAUUCCCUCCUUCCCCACCA
Molecule: transfer RNA, 87 nt
Filed under: Bacillota bacterium
Lineage: Bacteria; Bacillati; Bacillota
Description: Firmicutes bacterium (anaerobic digester metagenome) tRNA-Leu
Rfam family: tRNA
About the family: Transfer RNA (tRNA) molecules are approximately 80 nucleotides in length. Their secondary structure includes four short double-helical elements and three loops (D, anti-codon, and T loops). Further hydrogen bonds mediate the characteristic L-shaped molecular structure. tRNAs have two regions of fundamental functional importance: the anti-codon, which is responsible for specific mRNA codon recognition, and the 3' end, to which the tRNAs corresponding amino acid is attached (by aminoacyl-tRNA synthetases). tRNAs cope with the degeneracy of the genetic code in two manners: having more than one tRNA (with a specific anti-codon) for a particular amino acid; and 'wobble' base-pairing, i.e. permitting non-standard base-pairing at the 3rd anti-codon position.
Source: RNAcentral